Molecule: ribosomal RNA, 253 nt
Filed under: uncultured bacterium
Lineage: Bacteria
Description: partial 16S ribosomal RNA
Rfam family: Bacterial small subunit ribosomal RNA
Source: RNAcentral
GACGAACCGUGCAAACGUUAUUCGGAAUCACUGGGCUUAAAGGGCGCGUAGGCGGGUCAGCUAGUCUGCGGUGAAAUCCUCCAGCUUAACUGGAGAACUGCCGUGGAUACUGCUGACCUCGAGGAGGGUAGGGGCAUCUGGAACAGCCGGUGGAGCGGUGAAAUGCGUUGAUAUCGGCUGGAACUCCGGUGGCGAAGGCGAGAUGCUGGACCCUUUCUGACGCUGAGGCGCGAAAGCCAGGGGAGCGAACGGG